Molecule: non-coding RNA, 1254 nt
Organism: Drosophila suzukii
Lineage: Eukaryota; Metazoa; Arthropoda; Insecta; Diptera; Drosophilidae
Source: RefSeq, a predicted model, not a curated record
AAAGUGUAUCGAUUCGCUAAAAAAUCUUGACACCCUGAUCCUGGCAACCCGAAUGCGUCCACAUUAAAUGCCUGUCAAAAAAUCUGACGAGGCAUUGAAUGCCAAAUUCAUUUUUUCACAACUGGAUAUUGGUUUCUACUGAAAGUGUUACGUGCAGCGGUGGUGGCGGCAGAUCAGAAAAUUCAGUUAGCAGACGCUUUUUUGCAACGAUGACUGUUGUUUUAUGUGGUGGGCCCCUGGAUUUAGCAGCUUGGCGAAGAAGACGGCUACGGAGAUUGCUACUGCCUCGGCUGCGACAUCUCCACACUUGAGACACCUUCACAAAAACAUGCAUUAAAGAUGCAGAUUAGACUUUUAGUUGCCCUCAUGGCCAGGCGUCUCAAUCGUGUCCGACUUGACUUUCGUCAUUUCUUCUUCGUUAGCAGGAACCUCGGUUGGGGAUAAGGACGUGGUGGCCAGAGUUGGCGUAGAGUUUGCCAUGUCCUGUUCCUUGUCUUCCGGAUCCAAUAGCUUUUCUUUGUCGAGACGGUGAAAAGCCUCGUUGUAGGGAAAGGAGAAUGUGAUGGCCUGACACCUCAGUGUCAGGUGUCUCAAGUGUGAAGGGGACGCCGCUGAAGGGGUCCCAAAAGCCCACCAGGGAUCUCAACAACAGUAUCACCAUCUUCAAUUAUCGACCAAAGGAACCAAGAGGACGACUACAUUAUGACGGAUAGAGUUAAAUUGAAGGAGAAGGAAACCGAUCGACUGCGCAAUCUUUGUCAUGUGUAGAAGGAACUACUUUUGGAAGAGGCCUGCUGCUCCACCUCAUCAAAACCUGCAACACUGACGAGCUCCGUGAGUUGCAGGCGGUGCUCAAGCAAGAUCAAGAGCACCAGUUCUCCAAACAGGGAUUGUCGGCAGUGGAAAAAUGAAAAAUGCCGAGCCUAACCAGAACAACAUCAGUGAGCUAGGCAGAACCAAGGUCUUGAAGAAACCAGCUCCACCGAAGCUGUUCGAAAAUGCUCAGGUACAGCUCCACUGGCUAAGCGGCCAAAGUUAUUGGAUCCACAAGACGGACCUUCGGACCUCCUUUUUCAACUACGUGACUUCUUACCGGAUCGACUAAGAAGUUAUUGGAUCCACAAGACAGGAAUCAGGAGAUGACAAACUCUACUUCAAAUCUGGCCACCACGUUCACCUCCCACAUCGAGGCUCCUUCUAAAGAAGAAGAAGUGGCGACUGAGUAACUAAAAGUCUAAUCAGUCAAUGCAUGCC